CGGUCCUAAGGUAGCGAAAUUCCUUGUCGGGUAAGUUCCGACCUGCACGAAUGGCGUAACGACUUCCCCACUGUCUCGACCAGGAGCUCGGCGAAAUUGCAGUACGAGUAAAGAUGCUCGUUAAGCGCAGAAGGACGAAAAGACCCCGGGACCUUUACUAUACCUUGGUAUUGGCAUUCGGUGUGGAUUGUGUAGCAUAGGCGGGAGGCCGAGAGGCGCGGUCGCCAGAUCGCGCGGAGCCGUAAGGUGAAAUACCGCUCUGUUCGCAUUGGAUGUCUAACCUCGAACAGUCAUCCUGUUCAGGGACAGUGCCUGGCGGGUAGUUUAACUGGGGCGGUUGCCUCCCAAAGAGUAACGGAGGCGCCCAAAGGUCCGCUCAGCCCGGUUGGCAAUCGGGUGGCGAGUGCAAGUGCACAAGCGGGCUUGACUGCGAGGACGACGGUCCGAGCAGGGACGAAAGUCGGGACUAGUGAUCCGGUGCCGGUGUACGGACGCGGCAUCGCUCAACGGAUAAAAGGUACCCCGGGGAUAACAGGCUGAUCAUUCCCAAGAGUCCAUAUCGACGGGAUGGUUUGGCACCUCGAUGUCGGCUCGUCGCAUCCUGGGGCUGGAGCAGGUCCCAAGGGUUCGGCUGUUCGCCGAUUAAAGCGGCACGCGAGCUGGGUUCAGAACGUCGUGAGACAGUUUGGUCUCUAUCCUCUGCGCUCGUUGGAAUGCUGAGGAGGCCUGCCCAUAGUACGAGAGGACCUGGGUGGACGAACCUCUGGUAUGCCGGUUGUCACGCCAGUGGCACGGCCGGUUGGCUACGUUCGGAAGGGAUAACCGCUGAAAGCAUCUAAGCGGGAAGCCUGCUCCAAGAUAAGCAUUCCGUGGAACCUUCGAGUUCCUGUAGUCCCCAUGCAGAACACGUGGUCGAUAGGCCGGACGUGGAAGCCCCGCGAGGGGUGGAGCCGACCGGUACUAACGGACGAAAGGCAACACUAA
RNAcentral lists this ribosomal RNA (984 nucleotides) under metagenome. Its description in RNAcentral is "bacterial LSU rRNA". It matches the Rfam family "Bacterial large subunit ribosomal RNA", at positions 1946 to 2925 of the family's 2925-position model. RNAcentral also lists the same sequence under 1 other name. The record is from RNAcentral.